GACUGAUUGAAAGUCAGCCACAAGCACAGAGGAACCGCUGCAGAUUUUUUGCACAAGUGGCUUGAAGUCUCUAAUAAAUGUCAGCUGUGGAUGGCAGUUCCUGUUGACCACAGGGUGAUAGAACAGAAUUCAGCGUUACUCAGCAGUAUAAGUACAGGAAUAAUUUGCCAUCUGAGCAGCAGACUUCUGUGAACAGUUUAAUUGCAGCACCUGAAAAGCGAGGCAUAUGCAACACCAG
Molecule: long non-coding RNA, 238 nt
Organism: Grus americana (Whooping crane)
Lineage: Eukaryota; Metazoa; Chordata; Aves; Gruiformes; Gruidae
Exons: 3
Source: RefSeq, a predicted model, not a curated record